AUUGAACGCUGGCGGCAGGCCUAACACAUGCAAGUCGAGCGGAUGAAGGGAGCUUGCUCCUGGAUUCAGCGGCGGACGGGUGAGUAAUGCCUAGGAAUCUGCCUGGUAGUGGGGGAUAACGUCCGGAAACGGGCGCUAAUACCGCAUACGUCCUGAGGGAGAAAGUGGGGGAUCUUCGGACCUCACGCUAUCAGAUGAGCCUAGGUCGGAUUAGCUAGUUGGUGGGGUAAAGGCCUACCAAGGCGACGAUCCGUAACUGGUCUGAGAGGAUGAUCAGUCACACUGGAACUGAGACACGGUCCAGGCUACUACGGGAGGCAGCAGUGGGGAAUAUUGGACAGUGGGCGAAAGCCUGAUCCAGCCAUGCCGCGUGUGUGAAGAAGGUCUUCGGAUUGGAAAGCACUUUAAGUUGGGGGGAAGGGCAGUAAGUUAAUACCUUGCUGUUUUGACGUUACCAACAGAAUAAGCACCGGCUAACUUCGUG
RNAcentral lists this ribosomal RNA (484 nucleotides) under uncultured bacterium. RNAcentral's name for it is "partial 16S ribosomal RNA". It matches the Rfam family "Bacterial small subunit ribosomal RNA", at positions 30 to 507 of the family's 1533-position model. The record is from RNAcentral.